GCAGGACGCAGACGCCGGCGACGCCACGUGGGAACCCGCACCGACCCUCCUGCGGGUGAGAAUCUGUUCAGACGCCCUCGCCUCUCUUUUCGUGUUGCUUGGGUUGAGGUUUACGUGCUACUGAAAAAGAGUGGUUUUAUUGCCCGGUGCCAGGAUGAGUUGCAACAAGAGCUGUAACCUACGCUCAUGGCACAUCCAAGACUAUUCAUCGGCAAUGGAAAGUGACUUGAUAAGUUGACAAUGACUUCCUAGAAUUGGUGCACAAGAGGACCAAUGCAAUGGAGUCUUUGAAGUGGUUCAAGCCUGCCACACGCCAAGGUUGGAAAUGCAGAGAACUCUUAUGCCAUCUGAAGAUGGCAUCAUCCUGACCCUUGCAAGCAAGAGUUCUUGAUGUAAAAUACUAUGCUGCAACAGGACUGAAAGGAAAUGUAGAGGGACACCUACCAUGAACACUGAGGAUGUGGGUAGUAGCAGAUCCCAAGAUGACAAUGGCCCAAGAGAUGUUUGAUGGAUGGUUAUUGAAGCAAAUUUGCAUUGUGGCAGUUGACAUAAAAAGCAGAAGUGAAGAAUAAGUGUGCCAGGUCUAUAUCCACAAGUGGUUAUGUAUGAAGAGAUUGGCUGUUACAAGAUGUAUUAACCUGGAAUAAUGGUAAACCAUGCAGUAUGAUUGCCCCCAAGUCAGUUGGAUAAGACUAUUCAUAUGAAAAAGUAUAACACAACACAACCAGAACAAAAUAUUACCAAUAACCCAAGGUUCUUUAUCCCAAUAACCAUUAAAGGCCUGGCCACACAGGUGCACAAGAUCGGUAGACACCAGCAGUGAACUGUUCAGGUGUCGUCACGGGCGAGAAAAUGAAUUUAGCUGUUUCCGCCAGUCAUUCCUGCCUAUAUGGACAGGCCUUAAAUUGACCUGUUACGGUUCUUAAAUGGUGAAGCUGCA
RNAcentral lists this long non-coding RNA (940 nucleotides) under Penaeus monodon (black tiger shrimp). RNAcentral describes it as "uncharacterized LOC119591584, transcript variant X1". The record is from RNAcentral. Lineage: Eukaryota; Metazoa; Arthropoda; Malacostraca; Decapoda; Penaeidae.